This 463-nucleotide ribosomal RNA is filed under the name uncultured bacterium. Its description in RNAcentral is "partial 16S ribosomal RNA". It matches the Rfam family "Bacterial small subunit ribosomal RNA", at positions 28 to 507 of the family's 1533-position model. The record is from RNAcentral.
GACGAACGCUGGCGGCGUGCUUAACACAUGCAAGUCGAACGGUGAACCUCUUCGGAGGGGAUCAGUGGCGAACGGGUGAGUAACACGUGGGCAACCUGCCCCCGGCUCUGGGAUAACUCCAAGAAAUUGGGGCUAAUACCGGAUGUUCACCGCUUCCCGCAUGGGUGGUGGUGGAAAGGGUUUCCGGCUGGGGAUGGGCCCGCGGCCUCUCAGCUUGUUGGUGGGGUAGUGGCCUACCAAGGCGACGACGGGUAGCCGGCCUGAGAGGGUGACCGGCCACAGUGGGACUGCGAAAGUGCCCAGACUCCUACGGGAGGGAGCAGUGGGGAUUAUUGCGCCAAGGGCGGACGCCGGACGCAGCGACGCCGCGUGGGGGAUGAUGGCCUUCGGGUUGUAAACCUCUUUCAGCAGGGACGAAGCGCAAGUGACGGUACCUGCAGAAGAAGCACCGGCCAACUACGUG